AUUGAACGCUGGCGGCAGGCUUAACACAUGCAAGUCGAGCGGGGGAAGGUAGCUUGCUACCGGACCUAGCGGCGGACGGGUGAGUAAUGCUUAGGAAUCUGCCUAUUAGUGGGGGACAACAUCUCGAAAGGGAUGCUAAUACCGCAUACGUCCUACGAGAGAAAGCAGGGGAUCUUCGGACCUUGCGCUAAUAGAUGAGCCUAAGUCGGAUUAGCUAGUUGGUGGGGUAAAGGCCUACCAAGGCGACGAUCUGUAGCGGGUCUGAGAGGAUGAUCCGCCACACUGGGACUGAGACACGGCCCAGACUCCUACGGGAGGCAGCAGUGGGGAAUAUUGGACAAUGGGGGGAACCCUGAUCCAGCCAUGCCGCGUGUGUGAAGAAGGCCUUAUGGUUGUAAAGCACUUUAAGCGAGGAGGAGGCUACUUUAGUUAAUACCUAGAGAUAGUGGACGUUACACGCAGAAUAAGCACCGGCUAACUCUGUGCCAGCCGCCGCAGUAA
RNAcentral lists this ribosomal RNA (501 nucleotides) under uncultured bacterium. RNAcentral describes it as "partial 16S ribosomal RNA". It matches the Rfam family "Bacterial small subunit ribosomal RNA", at positions 30 to 523 of the family's 1533-position model. The record is from RNAcentral.